GACAGAGGGUGCAAACGUUGUUCGGAUUUACUGGGCGUAAAGCGCGUGUAGGCGGCUUGGCAAGUCGGAUGUGAAAGCCCACGGCUCAACCGUGGAAGCGCAUCUGAAACUGCUUCGCUCGAGUCUCGGAGAGGAAGGUGGAAUGCUUGGUGUAGAGGUGAAAUUCGUAGAUAUCAAGCAGAACACCUGCGGCGAAGGCGGCCUUCUGGACGAUGACUGACGCUGAGACGCGAAAGCGUGGGGAGCAAACAGG
This 253-nucleotide ribosomal RNA is filed under the name uncultured bacterium. RNAcentral describes it as "partial 16S ribosomal RNA". It matches the Rfam family "Bacterial small subunit ribosomal RNA", at positions 524 to 776 of the family's 1533-position model. The record is from RNAcentral.